UACGUAGGCAGCAAGCGUUGUUCGGAAUUACUGGGCGUAAAGAGUGUGUAGGCGGUGCUCUAAGUUUGGUGUGAAAUCUCCCGGCUCAACUGGGAGGGUGCGCCGAAAACUGGAAUGCUUGAACAUGGGAGAGGAAAGCGGAAUUCCUGGUGUAGCGGUGAAAUGCGUAGAUAUCAGGAGGAACACCUGCGGUGUAGACGGCUUUCUGGACCAUUGUUGACGCUGAGACACGAAAGCGUGGGUAGCAAAUAGG
Molecule: ribosomal RNA, 253 nt
Filed under: uncultured bacterium
Lineage: Bacteria
Description: partial 16S ribosomal RNA
Rfam family: Bacterial small subunit ribosomal RNA
Source: RNAcentral